UACGAAGGGUGCAAACGUUGCUCGGAAUUAUUGGGCGUAAAGCGCACGUAGGCGGCUUGGCAAGUCGGAUGUGAAAUCCCUCGGCUCAACCAAGGAAGUGCAUCCGAAACUGCUGAGCUUGAGUACUUAAGAGGAUCGCGGAAUUCCCGGUGUAGAGGUGAAAUUCGUAGAUAUUGGGAAGAACACCAGUGGCGAAGGCGGCUCACUGGCCCGUAACUGACGCUGAGGUGCGAAAGCGUGGGGAGCAAACAGG
Molecule: ribosomal RNA, 253 nt
Filed under: uncultured bacterium
Lineage: Bacteria
Description: partial 16S ribosomal RNA
Rfam family: Bacterial small subunit ribosomal RNA
Source: RNAcentral